AGAGUUUGAUCCUGGCUCAGAACGAACGCUGGCGGCGUGGAUAAGACAUGCAAGUCGAGCGCUGAUUACGGGGUAGCAAUAUUCCGUAGUCGGAGCGGCGCAAGGGUGCGUAACACGUGGGUAAUCUGCCAUGAAGUUUGGAAUAACUCGCUGAAAGGCGAGCUAAUGCCGGAUGUGAAAGCUGGGAGGCAUCUCUUGGUUUUCAAAGCUGGGGACCGCAAGGCCUGGCGCUUCAUGAUGAGCCCGCGGCCUAUCAGCUAGUUGGUAAGGUAACGGCUUACCAAGGCUAAGACGGGUAGCUGGUCUGAGAGGACGACCAGCCACACUGGAACUGAGACACGGUCCAGACACCUACGGGUGGCAGCAGUCGAGAAUUUUUCACAAUGGGCGCAAGCCUGAUGGAGCGACGCCGCGUGGGGGAUGAAUGGCUUCGGCCCGUAAACCCCUGUCAUUUGCGAUCAACCGUUGUUGUUUAAGAGAUGACAACCUGAUAGUAGCGAAAGAGGAAGGGACGGCUAACUCUGUGCCAGCAGCCGCGGUAAUACAGAGGUCCCAAGCGUUGUUCGGAUUCACUGGGCGUAAAGGGUGCGUAGGUGGCGGGGUAAGUCGGAUGUGAAAUCUCCGAGCUCAACUCGGAAAUGGCAUUGGAAACUGCUCUGCUCGAGGGUUGGAGGGGGGACUGGAAUACUUGGUGUAGCAGUGAAAUGCGUAGAUAUCAAGUGGAACACCAGUGGCGAAGGCGAGUCCCUGGACAACUCCUGACACUGAGGCACGAAAGCUAGGGGAGCAAACAGGAUUAGAUACCCUGGUAGUC
Molecule: ribosomal RNA, 814 nt
Filed under: uncultured bacterium
Lineage: Bacteria
Description: bacterial SSU rRNA
Rfam family: Bacterial small subunit ribosomal RNA
Source: RNAcentral